UAGUUAUAGCGCCAGGACACAAAGUUUUUGUGUUGACGAGGUCUAGGGUUAUCGAAAUUUUCGGCGGAUGCUCUAGUGGUUUCCUAAAAUCAAUAGUAUUCAUACAAAAAAUAGUAGUAAUACUACAACAAAAAU
This 135-nucleotide non-coding RNA is filed under the name chicken gut metagenome. Its description in RNAcentral is "glmS glucosamine-6-phosphate activated ribozyme". It matches the Rfam family "glmS glucosamine-6-phosphate activated ribozyme aptamer", at positions 5 to 151 of the family's 167-position model. Rfam says of the family: This entry contains a glucosamine-6-phosphate activated ribozyme that is found in the mRNA for GlmS. The record is from RNAcentral.